This 109-nucleotide ribosomal RNA is filed under the name Scleropages formosus (Asian bonytongue). Lineage: Eukaryota; Metazoa; Chordata; Actinopteri; Osteoglossiformes; Osteoglossidae. The record is from RNAcentral.
GCUUACGGCCAUACCACCAUGAAUACGCCUGAUCUCGGAAGCUAAGCAGCAUCAGACCUGGUUAGUACCUCGAUAGGAGACCCCCUGGGAAUAGCAAGUGCUGUAACCU